This 335-nucleotide ribosomal RNA is filed under the name Divia briandi. RNAcentral describes it as "SSU rRNA". It matches the Rfam family "Eukaryotic small subunit ribosomal RNA", at positions 86 to 414 of the family's 1831-position model. Lineage: Eukaryota; Metazoa; Mollusca; Gastropoda; Cycloneritida; Phenacolepadidae. The record is from RNAcentral.
ACCGCGAAUGGCUCAUUAGAUCAGUUAUGGUUCCUUAGAUCGUACAACUCCACUCGGAUAACUGUGGCAAUUCUAGAGCUAAUACGUGCAAGAAAGCUCUGACCUCGCGGGAAGAGCGCUUUUAUUAGUUCAAAACCAAUCGGGUCGCAAGGCCCGUCCGUUUGGUGACUCUGGAUAACUUUGUGCUGAUCGCAUGGCCUCGAGCCGGCGACGUAUCUUUCAAAUGUCUGCCCUAUCAACUUUAGAUGGUACGUGAUAUGCCUACCAUGGUUAUAACGGGUAGCGGGGAAUCAGGGUUCGAUUCCGGAGAGGGAGCAUGAGAAACGGCUACCACA